CCCAAAUAUCAGCUUUAUCUUCACAUUCCAAAUGGCAGAAGAACAGUUGCCUAAUCAUUCUGGAGAUUUUGUGUUACAGGCCCAAGCACAUGAAGAAACUGAUGCAAUCAGAUGGUGUUUCCAUUCCAAAUUCCUAGGGAAGAGAAGCUGAUCAGUCCAGUUGGGGGUCCACCGUCCAUACCUCAGCUCCAAUCAUCUAUGGCCAGGGAGUCAGGAGCCCAUUGUACAGACAUGGAUGUCGAGGCUCACUCCUGCCUACCUGAGGAUGGGGAUAAAAGAGGAGAUCUCAAAGGGCAGAAGAAGAGGAGUGUCAUGGCCUGGAGUUACCAAAGGUGUCAUUCUACUUUACAUUCCUUUACAGGGGAGAAAGGAAAUUAAUAUAUUUUAGAAUAAUUUUCAGUAACCAGUGUCACCACCUAAAAAGUUUUCUGCAUAUCCCAUGGCUAAGACAAAAUUCAAUCUAGUUAGCUAAACAUAUUUUGCCCUGCAUCCUAAUUUUAGCAGAAACAGAUGGUUGCCUACCUAACAGCUUAUUCCCCUUCCUUCUUCACUGGCAGGAUCCCACACAUAUUUGGGUGUCCAUCCCUCCCUCAUAUCAGUCCUAGAAAGGUCACCUUAUCCUUGUGUUUAGAAGUAAAUUAGUCUAAUGGUUGUAUUGUGAUUGAUCCCUUUUGGUUUAGACAUGGGCAUAUGACACAAUUAUGACCAAUAAAACAUGAUGAGGAAUCUUUGCCUUCUACAAGGAUAUUUUUCUCAUUGAUAGAAAGAAACUCACAGGAACACUUCCUAUUCUAACAUUUUAGUAUCUGGGUGCGAUGCUUGGAACUGUUGCAGCCAUAUUACGACCAUGAGGGGACCUAGUAUGAGGAUAAGAGAACUGAAAUAUGCAAAGAAUUGGCCCUUUGAUGACCCAUUUGAGCUACUGAGUUAACCCAACUGGGACUGCUUUACCUCUGGGAUUCUUGUUUAAUUAAUUAAUUUUGUAUGGCUGCACCUGUGGCAUAUGGAGUUUCCUGGACCAGGGGUCGAAUCCGAACUGCAGCUGCAACCCAUGCUGGAUCUAUAACCCAUUGCACCACAGUGGGAACUUCCUCUAUUUAUUUAUUUAAAAAGUUUAUGUAUAAUUGACCUAUAAAUUAUAUUGAUAUCAGACAUGCAACAUAAUGAUUUGAUAGUUGUAUAUAUUGCCAAAUGGUCAAAAUAAGUCUAUUUAACAUCUGCCACUGUAUACAGUUUAAAUUUUGUUUUCUUGUAAUGAGAGCUUUUAAGAUUCUUGUUACUUGAUGAAAGAAAUAUUAAGUCAGCUGGGUUGAUUUUUAAUUUUUUGUUACUUGCAUCCCCAUACAUCUUAAUUGAUAUACUCCUAAUUAAUAUAUAUCACAAAGCCACAAAAAGGCAUGCUUUGAUAAAAGCUGAAUUUAGAAACUAGAGAAUAAUUCUGAAAAUGCUCAGGAGAAGGUGUCCCUUAGGCCAUACUGGUAUAGAGAGCUAAGACAUCAUGAAACAUUUCUCAUGUCCCAGAGCCUCAUCAAGACACAGAAUUUUGCAAGCAGACCAACAUUAUUUCUUUAACAUUAUAGAAAGCAACUGAAAGAAAUUAUUUGUUUCGAGUAGCUUUUUUAUGCUUCAAAGUCCUUGCUCCUUUAGACGUGGAGUUGGACAAGUUUAAAGUAGUUUCAUUGUGCGUUCUGCUUGCUCAAGUUUGAUAGGCUGUGUUUGCAUGACAGGUCUGUCCCUGCAGUGAGUGUUGGGGAUGCUUUGAUGUGGGUUGCAUUUGGACAGCCUAAUACUUGGGGAAAAAUGUGCUGAAAUUGAACAAGAUUGCUUUUUGCCCAGCUGUUCUCUAAAGGCUCAGACAUUUUUAGCACUGAGCAAAGAAGCUUGUAUUUGUUUUGACAGUCUUGGCAGGCAGAACAAUGGUUGAUUAUCCCAGCACUUUACUAACAAAUAAGCCUGCCUCCAGCAGAGAUAAAAUAUGGGUCUUGACUUGAUUGCAUUUCAUGUCCAAGGGAAUUAUCUUCUACUCAUUCUGAUGCCCUUUCGUUAUGCAAUGUACCUUUUUCUUCCUUUAUCUUUGCCCUGCAUGGUAACCCUUGGCUUUCACUCUGAGAAGGCAGAUUCCCAAAAUCCCCAUGGGCAGGGUGGUUUGAUUAUCAUAUAAAACAUGUAUUUUUACUUCUCCAAUUUGAUUUCUUAGAAACAUUUUGUUUGUUUUUGGUUCUCCAGAUUUGUAUGGCUAGUUUUCUUCAAUUUUCUGUCUGUUCUUCUUUGGCAUUUGUUUAUGUUGCUGAGACUGGUGUAGCAUGUAGAAGUCUCUGAUUUUACAUCAUAACUGCAUUUAAAAGGUCUACCCCAGGUGUCUUCUUCACCCAUACAGAGCAGUGCUUUACACAGAGCAAUUUUGUCUUCUUCAAAACAAAGGGACUUUUAGUUUUAUGAAAACAUUUCUAUUUUUUUCUCUGUUAUUUGCCUUCCACAAGAUUUUAAGAAUUAAAUGUUUUAUAAAGUAUAACAUAUUCAGGUAAGGGUACGGCUCAAUGGAGUUUCACAAAGUAAACACAUAGAUGUGACCAGCGACCCCUCAGGCCCCCUCACAGUCAUCAUCUCCCCCCUCUAUCACCACCUGCCUCUUCCCAAAGGUAACAACUGUUUUGAUGUCUGCUGUCACAUGCAUUUUUCCUCCUUUUGCUCCUCAAUAUUAUGUACUGCUAUCACAUUUUUGUGCAUGACUUUGGGUGAAUACACAGGUACUUUUAGUUCUGUAUAUUGAAGAGCAGAAUUGUUGGGGGACCGGGCACAAAUAUCUUUACUUUGUUUCAAAUUAUGCUCUCACCAAAAAGGUGUGAAAAUUCAGUAUUAAUUCAAAUCCUUGCCAGAACUUGAUAUUGUCGGCCUUUUUCCCUUUUUUUAGGGCCAUACCUGUGGCAUAUGGAAAUUCCCAGGCGAGGGGUGGAACCACAGCAGCAGCUGCAGGCCCACAGCACAGACACAGCAACGCUGGAUCUGAGCUUUAUCUUCGAUCCAUGCCACAGCUUGCAGCAAUGCCGGAUCCUUAACCCAGUGAGAGAGGCCAAGGAUUGAACCUGCAUCCUCACAGAGACUAUGUUGGUUCCUUAACCCCCUGAGCCACAAAGGGAACGCCAUAGCCUUUUAAUUAUAAUAAUUCUGUUAAAUGCGUAGUGGCACUCAUUAUGGUUUUAUUUUGCAUAUUCAUGGUAAUCAAUGAGACUGAACACCUUUUAUCUUCAUUGGGCAGUUAGAGUGUCUCUUCUGUUAAGUAACUCGAACAAUUUUUGUCCUUUUUUUCUAAUGCAUAUAGUAAUAAUAUAUAUAUUUAUUAUUAAUUUGUAAGCCUUCUUUAUUAUGGAAAUGAAUUCUUUGUCAGGUAUGUAUAUUGUAAAUAUAUUCUCCCAUUCUGCAGGUUGCCUUUUUAUCAUAUCAUGGAAACUUUUGAUAAAUAGAAAUCAUUAAUGGUUUCAAACUUUUCAAUUUGAAAUAACUUUAGACAAACUUUAGACUUGCAAAUAGUAGAGUUCCUGUAUAUCCCUCAUCCAGCUUUCCCUAAUAGUAACAUAUUACAUAAUCAUAGUGCAAUUACUGAAGCCAGAAAACUAACAUUGUCACAAUACUAUUAACUAAUCCACAGACCUUAAUCUCAUUUUGUCAAUGGUCCACUACCACUUUUUUUUACAGGUCAGGAUCCAGUCCAGGAUCCAACAUUGCCUUAGAUUGUUGAGUCUUCUUGGUCUCUUGCAAUCUGUGGUAAUUCCUUAGUCUUUGUUUUUUUACAACCUUGACACUUUUGAAGAGUUAUUUUGUAGCAUGCCCCUCAGUUUGGGUUUGUCUGAUGUUUUCUUAUGAUUGGAAACACUAUUUUAAGCAUUGUAACUAUAAACAUGGUAUCUAAGUUUUGGUUUUCUGGGUACUUUUUUUGUCAUCCUUUUCAGCAUUCUGUUCUGAAUUUUGAUAAAUAUUUAAAGUCAUGCAACCACUAUCCCAAUCAACAUAUAAAACAGUCUUAUUAACCCCCUAAAAUUCCCUCAUGUGCCUUUGUAGUCAACUUCUUACCCUCAACCCCAAAUCCUGGCAACUAUCUAUCUGUUUUUUAUCCCCAUAGUUUUGUUUUUACAGAAUGUCAUAUAAAUAGCAUCAUACAAUGUGGAGCCUUUUGAGCCUGGCUUCUUUCACUUAGCAUAAUGCAUUUGAGAUACAUUCAUGUUUGUUUAUCAGUAUUUUUCAAAGUGGUCGUGGCAGUUUGCAUUACCACCAGCAAUACAGAAGAAUUCCAGGGGAGUACCUGCUGUGGCUCAGGGGUAACAAAUUUGACUAGUAUCCAUGACGAUGUGGGUUUACUCCCUGAUCCUACUCAGUGGGUUAAGGAUCUGGCAUUGCUGUGAACUAUGUAACUACCAUCUAACUUCUAACACAAUAUUUUAUAUAAAUAGAAUGAUGUACUAUGCAUUUUUGUGUUUUCUUUUGCU
RNAcentral lists this long non-coding RNA (4481 nucleotides) under Sus scrofa (pig). RNAcentral's name for it is "lncRNA (ENSSSCG00035064583.1)". Lineage: Eukaryota; Metazoa; Chordata; Mammalia; Artiodactyla; Suidae. The record is from RNAcentral.